Oryzias melastigma (Indian medaka) is the source of this 311-nucleotide long non-coding RNA. RefSeq lists it as uncharacterized. The transcript is spliced from 3 exons. NCBI's taxonomy places the organism in Eukaryota, Metazoa, Chordata, Actinopteri, Beloniformes, Adrianichthyidae. The record is from RefSeq and is a predicted model, not a curated record.
AGCAAGUGUUUGACGCUAUAGCACAGCAACACACCCAGAACUGAGGUCACCUGAGCAGCAUAAAAGCAGAGGAGCUGCUCAGCAGCAGCAUCAAACCCGGAGAACUCACCUGUACAUCAGGAUGAAGCUGAUCUUCUCUCUGUGUCUCAUCUAUGCGCUCUGCAGCUCAGCUGCUGCUCUUCAGUGUGACGCCUGUGCAGAUCAGACAUGUUCAACCACAGUCAGUAAGACGUGCAGCUCAGAGACCAUGUGUAUUACAGCUUCCAUCAGAGCCACUUCAUCUCAAGGUUCAGGAGCAUUAAUCUACAAGG